Molecule: ribosomal RNA, 497 nt
Filed under: uncultured bacterium
Lineage: Bacteria
Description: partial 16S ribosomal RNA
Rfam family: Bacterial small subunit ribosomal RNA
Source: RNAcentral
GAUGAACGCUGGCGGCGUGCCUAAUACAUGCAAGUCGAGCGAACAGACUAUAAGCUUGCUCCUCAGACGUUAGCGGCGGACGUGUGAGUAACACGUUGAUAACCUACCUAUCAGACUGGGAUAACGGCAUGAAACUGGAGCUAGUAACGUAUAAUAUAUUGAACCUCAUUGUUCCAUAGUGAAAGACGGAUUUGCGGUCACUUAUAGAUGCAUCCUCGCCGCAUUAGCUAGUGGGUAAGGUAAGGGCUUACCAAGGCAACGAAGAGUAGCCGACCUGAGAGGGUAAUCGGCCAAACUGGAACGGAGAAACGGCCCAGACUCCUCGGGGAGGAAGCAGUAGGGAAUCUUCGGAAAUGGGCGAAAGCCUGACGGAGAAACGCCGGGUGAGUGAUGAGGGUUUUGGGAUGGAAAAACUCUGUUAUUAGGGAAGAACAAAUGUGGAAGUAAAUAUGCACGUCGUGACGGUACCUAAUCAGAAAGCCACGGCUAACUACGUG